RNAcentral lists this long non-coding RNA (1440 nucleotides) under Jatropha curcas. Its description in RNAcentral is "long non-coding RNA (JCUR_LNC000471)". The record is from RNAcentral. Lineage: Eukaryota; Viridiplantae; Streptophyta; Magnoliopsida; Malpighiales; Euphorbiaceae.
UUGGCUGAUGGGUAUAACAAGGGCACUGGAUUAGGUGCUGAGAUUAUUGGUACUUUUGUUCUUGUCUACACUGUCUUCUCUGCUACUGAUCCCAAGAGGAAUGCAAGAGAUUCCCAUGUUCCUGUAUGUACCUGAUUCUUUAAUUUACCUCUUUAAUUUUUCUUUUUCUUGUUAUUUUGCGUUUAGGUUCAUUUAAUUUCUUUUGUUGGGAUCUGAAGUCAUUUUCUUGCUGGCUUUGUUAGUUUUUCUCAUCUCAAGGUCUUGAUUUCUGGAACCUUUACUUUCUCCACACUCUUAUUAUGUUAGGUUUUUGAUUUGGACAGCAAGCACAAGAUAACACUAAUGUCUUCUAUCAGUACUAAUUUAUCAACUUUAUUUAUGCUUUCAUAAAUAAUAAAUUAAUUUUUUCAUCUUCAUCCUUUGUACAUGACCAUUACUUCAAUUUUUAAAUAAUUUAUUAUAAUAUAGACAAAUUAAGAAUAAUAUAGUCUAUUCAUUCAAUAAUUUAUUAUAAUUUGAAUAAAUUAAAUGAUUUGUUAUUAGAGGAUAGAGGAGUAUAAGUUUAGAAUUUGCACAUAAAUUAAUGAAUUAUUGUAAAAUAUUAAAUUUAAAUUAAAAAUUAAUGUUCUCCUUUAUUAGGUUUUCUUCUAUAAUCAACAAACUUUUUCGUUAUAUUUUACUAUUUAGUUAUUAUAAUUUGUUUCAUGUCUAAUUUUUAAGAGUGUCCUAUCCUCUUUUAUAAUUUGUACUAAUUUGAAGUUGAUUAAUAAAAUUUUAAAAAAUUAUCUUAAGAAAAUUAAAAUUUCAAAUUCUAGUAACCUUUUAGUCUUAUUUUAUUUUUUGGAAUUGGUAAAAGGUGUCAUGUCACAAUCAAUUUAAUUAGUGGCACAAAUUGGAUUUUCACUAAACAAAAAAAUGCUAAACCCACUACAAAGCUUACAUGAUUUGAUUUUUUUUUUUUUUUUUAUCUUCUUAAUUAAGGUUUUGGCCCCUCUUCCAAUUGGGUUUGCUGUGUUCAUGGUUCACCUUGCCACAAUUCCAAUUACUGGCACUGGCAUCAACCCUGCUAGGAGUUUUGGAGCUGCUGUUAUCUACAACAAAGACAAGGCAUGGGAUGAUCAGGUAAAAAGAAAUAAUAAUUAUAAUAGUAAAAAACUAUUUUCACUAAUAAUUUUAGUUACUGAGACCAGUAAACUUUAGCUCAAUAGUCUUGAAGUUUUUCUAGAGUUGAGAAGUUCCAAAUUUUAAUGAACUAAAUUAAUUAAAAGAUACAUAUUUUUAAAAUUUUUUUUAUUGAUUUUGUGGUAAUUUAUUGUAUUCUGCAGUGGAUUUUCUGGGUUGGACCUUUUGUUGGAGCUGCCAUUGCUGCUUUCUAUCACCAGUACAUCCUCAGAGCAGCAGCUAUUAAAGCUCUAGGAUCUUUCAGGAGCAAUGCUUAAU